GUGUAUGGCCAUACCACCCUGAAUGUGCCUGAUCUUUUCUGGUGUUGGAAGUUAAGCAGGGUUGGGGCUGGUCAGUACAUGGAUGGGAGGCUACCUGGGAAGACGUGGUAGGCUUUGGCA
Ribosomal RNA from Cebus imitator (Panamanian white-faced capuchin), 120 nucleotides. NCBI's taxonomy places the organism in Eukaryota, Metazoa, Chordata, Mammalia, Primates, Cebidae. The record is from Ensembl.